Long non-coding RNA from Pogoniulus pusillus (Red-fronted tinkerbird), 825 nucleotides. RefSeq lists it as uncharacterized. The transcript is spliced from 3 exons. NCBI's taxonomy places the organism in Eukaryota, Metazoa, Chordata, Aves, Piciformes, Lybiidae. The record is from RefSeq and is a predicted model, not a curated record.
CAUUGUGGGCAGAAGGAUCCUCCUCGGAUCAUCACCGGAAUGAGUUUGGAAUGCUUCGAGCAGCACUGACCAAGCCUGGAGGAAGAGCCUGAGGAUCCCUGUGCUGCAGCAGCUUGGUGACCCCCCCAGCUCCGCGGCAGCUCUGCAGGAGGAAGACAUGGCACUGGGAAAUGCCCCUGGGCACAUGGGCUGAGCUACUAAGGACAGCAGCCUGGGCGCAGCUCCGAGCCACUCGGGCCAGCACAGGCACCUGCAGAUGUUGGUCCAGCCACGGAAUGGGUUGGGUUGGAAGGGACCUUAAAGGUUAUCAAGUGGAUUAGUGGCACCUGGGCAUGGCACGGGCACGUGAGACCAGAGGAGCAGGGCUGGAGUGCAGCAGAUGUUGCUCAUUCCCUUUGCAAAGAGGAGUCAGGGGGCAGGGCUGCCUCUGAGAGGUGAACCUGGACUCGCCUGCUCCUGGGUCAGAGAAUGGUUUGGGUUGGAAGGGACCCUGAAGAUCAACCAGUUGCAACCCCCUGCCCUGGGCAAGGACACCUCCCACCAGCUCAGCUUGCUCUAAGCCUCAUCCAGCCCAGGCUCAAACACUUCCAGGGGUGAAGCACCUACAGCUUCUCUGGGCAACCUGUGCCAGUGUCUGUCCAGCCUGCCAGUAAAGAAGCUCUCCCCAGUGUGCCCCUGCUCUAGUUCCAAAGCAUUGCCCUGCCCCUGUCACCACAGGCCCUUAUCCGUGAUGUAUGAGAGAGGAGCCCAAGGGAAGAGGGCUGGCACCGGGGCAGCAGCCGGGCAGGAGGCACCUCUGGCUGAGGUGGCUGUUCCCAGAGCCUG